UUACCUUUAAUUGAAUUUUCUUAUAACAACAGUUUCCAAACGAAUAUAAAGAUGGCACCGUAUGAAGCUUUAUAUGGUCACAAGUUUUGAACACCGUUAUACUGGACUGAAUUGAGUGAGAAACAAGAUUCACGGGGUUGAGUUAUUGAAAGAAACAUAAGAAAAAUUUAAAGUGAUUCACAACAAUUUAAAAGCAGCUUUAGAUCGACAGAAAUCAUAGUGGAUUUGAAACGUAAAGAAAUAGAAUUUCAGGUUGGAGAUCGAG
RNAcentral lists this long non-coding RNA (265 nucleotides) under Gossypium barbadense (sea-island cotton). Its description in RNAcentral is "long non-coding RNA (GBAR_LNC001395)". The record is from RNAcentral. Lineage: Eukaryota; Viridiplantae; Streptophyta; Magnoliopsida; Malvales; Malvaceae.